RNAcentral lists this ribosomal RNA (435 nucleotides) under uncultured bacterium. RNAcentral describes it as "partial 16S ribosomal RNA". It matches the Rfam family "Bacterial small subunit ribosomal RNA", at positions 29 to 507 of the family's 1533-position model. The record is from RNAcentral.
AACGAACGCUGGCGGCAGGCCUAACACAUGCAAGUCGAGCGGACAUCUUCGGAUGUUAGCGGCGGACGGGUGAGUAACGCGUGGUAACGUGCCCUUUGCUUCGGAAUAGCCUCGGGAAACUGGGAGUAAUACCGGAUGUACCCUUUGGGGGAAAGAUUUAUCGGCAAAGGAUCGGCCCGCGUUGGAUUAGGCAGUUGGUGGGGUAAUGGCCUACCAAGCCGACGAUCCAUAGCUGGUUUGAGAGGAUGAUCAGCCACACUGGGACUGAGACACGGCCCAGACUCCUACGGGAGGCAGCAGUGGGGAAUCUUAGACAAUGGGGGAAACCCUGAUCUAGCCAUGCCGCGUGAGCGAUGAAGGCCUUAGGGUUGUAAAGCUCUUUCACCGGGGAAGAUAAUGACGGUACCCGGAGAAGAAGCCCCGGCUAACUCCGUG